This 1369-nucleotide ribosomal RNA is filed under the name Triticum aestivum (bread wheat). RNAcentral's name for it is "partial small subunit ribosomal RNA". Lineage: Eukaryota; Viridiplantae; Streptophyta; Magnoliopsida; Poales; Poaceae. The record is from RNAcentral.
UUGCCGCAGCACAAGAGCUUUUUAGAAGAGGGACGGAGACGCAUCGAGAAGAGCGGGGGCGAACAGAGGCGGCGCCCGCGCCGGCCGCGAGCCGGCAGGCGUGUGCUGCGUUGCGGGGCGGGGCGGGAGGCGAGGGUGACAAGCCAGCCGGGUUCUAGGAGUAGGCUUGAAUUCUGUUUUACCCGAGUUCUCAAAAACGAAACAAGUAGUGACCGCAACAGGAAAACCCGUCAUCUUAGAACCGGAACCUGGUGUGACAACAACUUUUCUCUAAUUUACUCUUGUGCCAUAGUGAAUGUUGUUUCCCUUCAGGUGUUGAUACGGUUGAAACACUCGUCAAACGGUGUCUUUGGGAGAAGAUAAACUUCCUCUUACUCUGGGCCUAGCUUUAAUAUCUAUGAGAAGUGGUUCGAACAAACUUUAAAGUAAGUGAAUUCAAUCUCACAUGUUUCAACCAACUAAUAAUACGUCGUGACAAGAAGCGUGUUUAACUAAGAGAUUCGGGACUUCUUAAAACGCAUAGUCGUUCAGAAACACUCCUUCAAUGUAUGUAAGCGGAGGGUCCUGUACUUGUACGAACGUGGGAAACGGUACUCCAACAACUACUCUAAGCAUGACCAGAACUUCUGGGACUCUACCUCGAGUUCUAUUAGCUCUAUGAAGACUUUCCUACGUUGUUGUGUCUCUCGAAGCAUGUCUUCACGUUCUUCUACUAUUAGGUUUUACGUGGUGAGUAUGAUCUUCUAUAGUUCUUCAAAGAGCUCUUCUCUCUAAAGACGCUAAGAUAGGCACAGACACCUCCGUUUUAACGAGCGGGAGGUCCUCCUCCAGACUCUCCGGACAGAUGACACACUCGAGAAAGAAAAGGACUUGUGCGUACUGCUAACGCACCGUAAAUUACUUCUUGUGCCCCCGAUAGACUGGAGUGCGCCACUACAAAUCUUCUUUCUAACCACCACAUUCAGAUGCUUGCUUUUCUAGAAGGUAUUACGAUAAAGGCUCGUCACAUGAGGGAGGCAGGGUUUUAAGAACAGAAUCUAAACAGAUCUAUGCCUACAUGGAUUGUGAUUUUGCACUGAACUAUGUAGGCAUAAACCUGUUUAGAUUCUGUUCUUAAAACUCUGCCUCCCUCGUAUAUAAUAUGUCGUAACCGUAACAUGGACACCUCUUCACAUAUAUAAUAGUGUCAGUAGUUUACUUUAAAGACACUAUCAACAACGAUGUACUAGCAAGUACCUUGCAUUCGUUUUACAUACGAAUUUCACAUCUCGUAUAUGCGCACAUUUGUUUAAUACUUGAUACACGUCACCUGAAAAUAAAUACUACGUCUAGACCGGGAAAGAAAACUACUGACACUAUCCCGUGAAGG